Molecule: ribosomal RNA, 253 nt
Filed under: uncultured bacterium
Lineage: Bacteria
Description: partial 16S ribosomal RNA
Rfam family: Bacterial small subunit ribosomal RNA
Source: RNAcentral
GACGUAGGGCGCGAGCGUUGUCCGGAUUGAUUGGGCGUAAAGAGCUCGUAGGCGGCUCGUUGCGUCGGCUGUGAAAACCCGCAGCUCAACUGUGGGCCUGCAGCUGAUACGGGCGGGCUGGAGUUCGGUAGGGGAGACUGGAAUUCCUGGUGUAGCGGUGAAAUGCGCAGAUAUCAGGAGGAACACCGGUGGCGAAGGCGGAUCUCUGGGCCAUUACUGACGCUGAGGAGCGAAAGCGUGGGGAGCGAACAGG